AGGGAUGUAGUUCAGUGCUAGAAUAUCUCUCUUGCUUGCAGAGCAUCACAGGUUCAAUCCCUGGCAUCUCCA
Molecule: non-coding RNA, 72 nt
Organism: Podarcis lilfordi (Lilford's wall lizard)
Lineage: Eukaryota; Metazoa; Chordata; Lepidosauria; Squamata; Lacertidae
Source: the annotation of a GenBank genome assembly